RNAcentral lists this ribosomal RNA (484 nucleotides) under uncultured bacterium. RNAcentral's name for it is "partial 16S ribosomal RNA". It matches the Rfam family "Bacterial small subunit ribosomal RNA", at positions 30 to 507 of the family's 1533-position model. The record is from RNAcentral.
AUUGAACGCUGGCGGCAGGCCUAACACAUGCAAGUCGAGCGGAUGAAGGGAGCUUGCUCCUGGAUUCAGCGGCGGACGGGUGGGUAAUGCCUAGGAAUCUGCCUGGUAGUGGGGGAUAACGUCCGGAAACGGGCGCUAAUACCGCAUACGUCCUGAGGGAGAAAGUGGGGGAUCUUCGGACCUCACGCUAUCAGAUGAGCCUAGGUCGGAUUAGCUAGUUGGUGGGGUGAAGGCCUACCAAGGCGACGAUCCGUAACUGGUCUGAGAGGAUGAUCAGUCACACUGGAACUGAGACACGGUCCAGACUCCUACGGGAGGCAGCAGUGGGGAAUAUUGGACAAUGGGCGAAAGCCUGAUCCAGCCAUGCCGCGUGUGUGAAGAAGGUCUUCGGAUUGUAAAGCACUUUAAGUUGGGAGGAAGGGCAGUAAGUUAAUACCUUGCUGUUUUGACGUUACCAACAGAAUAAGCACCGGCUAACUUCGUG